RNAcentral lists this ribosomal RNA (274 nucleotides) under uncultured bacterium. Its description in RNAcentral is "partial 16S ribosomal RNA". It matches the Rfam family "Bacterial small subunit ribosomal RNA", at positions 523 to 796 of the family's 1533-position model. The record is from RNAcentral.
AUACGGAGGGUGCGAGCGUUAAUCGGAAUUACUGGGCGUAAAGGGUGCGUAGGCGGCUUGAUAAGUCGGAUGUGAAAGCCCCGGGCUUAAGCUGGGAAUUGCAUUCGAUACUGUCAGGCUAGAGUAUGUCAGAGGUUGGCGGAAUUCCUGGUGUAGCGGUGAAAUGCGUAGAUAUCAGGAGGAACACCAGUGGCGAAGGCGGCUAACUGGGGCAAUACUGACGCUGAGGCACGAAAGCGUGGGGAGCAAACAGGAUUAGAUACCCUAGUAGUCC